RNAcentral lists this transfer RNA (69 nucleotides) under Dendropsophus rhodopeplus (red-skirted treefrog). Its description in RNAcentral is "tRNA-Val". It matches the Rfam family "tRNA". From Rfam's summary of the family: Transfer RNA (tRNA) molecules are approximately 80 nucleotides in length. Their secondary structure includes four short double-helical elements and three loops (D, anti-codon, and T loops). Lineage: Eukaryota; Metazoa; Chordata; Amphibia; Anura; Hylidae. The record is from RNAcentral.
CAACGUGUAGCUUAAUUAAAGCAUCUCGCUUACACCGAUAAAAUAUCUGUGAAACCCAGAUCACUUUGA